Molecule: non-coding RNA, 706 nt
Organism: Ciona intestinalis (vase tunicate)
Lineage: Eukaryota; Metazoa; Chordata; Ascidiacea; Phlebobranchia; Cionidae
Source: RefSeq, a predicted model, not a curated record
UAUUAAGAUAUUACGUGCUAAAGGUGUCCCAUCUUUCCCCACCCUACUAUAUACUGUACGUAUUUAUACUUCAACGGCUACGUGGUACUUGGUUUUGUAUGCUAUAUUAACAUUUACAUUAUAUCAUAUUACAUGAGUUUUACUAAUUACAGAAUUAUGUUCGAAGCAGGAUCAUCUUGAAAUGCUCCAUAGAACCAACGCACGUGAUCCAUGUUAAAUGGGUGAGUAGCUUUUGUGUGCUUGCAAAUAAAAUAAAUGAUUUUUCCAAUUAUAGGGAAUUCUAAUUAAAUUAUGUUUAUAGUCUAAAAACUGCCUGACGUUCAAUUCACCUUGAGAACCGUAUAUCUGGCAAUAUAAGUUAUAGCACCGUGCGUGUCACAAUAUAGCAUUUUGUAUUUAAACUGAACGUUUUAACAUUACAGAUGCAGACUCUAUAUACGGCUAUAUGCGCCAUAUACGAGUAUAUUGGUACGAAGCUGUCUCCGCGAACCGCUGUUAAUAUUUCGAUAUGACGUCACACUACAAUUGACGUCACUCAGCUGGUUCUUUGUGCAAAUAAUAUAACAAAGAAUAUUACGAGAAACAAAGGAACUGCCCGGAGAAAGAAUAGAAGAAGAAAAGAGACAAUUACGGGACGGAAAUUUCAGGGAACCAUAGCAUACUUGGACUAGGAUUUAUUCUUAGUCGAUGUAAAUAAUAACUUAUG